CAUGUGGCAGAAGAGAUCCAGGAAAGGACACGGUUUAAGCCUCCUAAAUUCAGAGGCUUUUUGCUUCAAAUAAGAGAGCAGAGGCAAGAGGCAACCCAAUAGCCACAGAUUUCUCUGCAACACCAAUUUCUAUUAGGGAGAAGUCAAGAAGGAACCAUACCCAAACUAUACUCAAAGCAGAGAAUACAGACUUCUUCAAAAUUGAUGCAUCUAAAUUAAGGAUUUUUUGUGUGUGAAAGGCCUUGGAUAAAUUUUUGGGUCCUGUAGAAGGCAAGGCCACCUGGCCACCAACAACAGCUGGGCGUUGGACCAGGCCAAACAGAAGCCCUCUCUCUAUCUCCAUUCCACUGAGGUGGAGGCAUGGCCAGGUAGAAGAGAAGGCAGGAAGCAGUGAUCAACUGGAAAACUACCAUGAACAAAACCCCAAGUACUACCACAAAAACAUGAAAACCCAGGGCAAAAAAUCCUAAGAAAAUACUGUAAUAGGUUACCUUUAUGUGAAUGAGUCUUCACGCUGGCCUAGACUGAGUCACUCUGGGAACUGCCUCGCGGUCCAUCUGGCUGCCAACUCCUGGCUAAACCUGAACAUCCUGUGACUGAAAUGGAUGCAUCAAAGCCUAAGGCACCGCAAGGUAUUCUCAGCGCCCACACAAAAGAAAGAGGCUCAGCAGCACCCUUAAUGAGACACACUAGCACCUCCAGACUGCACUAAACAGUUUGGCACCCAGCCUCUAAAGCUGUUUUCAAGGGGCUGUUGCUCAGGUUUGUUUUUAGUUUCCUAUUAUCUGCAGCCCGGCUAAUGAACACCCUAGGAAGUGUUUCCUUGAAAGUGGUGGUACAACAGCCUCUGUGUUCCACCCUGGCUGAACAGCAACCCAACCUGAGUUCCCUGCUUCUGGGAAGCAAAAUAAGCAGGAUCCUCCGUGAAAGAACAAGCCUGUCAGAAUGAAAAUCUGCACCUUCACAAAAGGGCAAUGACAAUCUCUAACUUUCUGCCUGGUGAUGCCUACAAAA
This is a long non-coding RNA of Agelaius phoeniceus (red-winged blackbird), 1014 nucleotides long. RefSeq lists it as uncharacterized. NCBI's taxonomy places the organism in Eukaryota, Metazoa, Chordata, Aves, Passeriformes, Icteridae. The record is from RefSeq and is a predicted model, not a curated record.